AGAGUUUGAUCAUGGCUCAGAUUGAACGCUGGCGGUAUGCUUAACACAUGCAAGUCGAACGGAAACGAAACUAGCUUGCUAGUAGGCGUCGAGUGGCGGACGGGUGAGUAACGCGUAGGAAUCUGCCUGAUAGUGGGGGAUAGCCCGAAGAAAUUCGGAUUAAUACCGCAUAAUCUAUUCGUAGUAAAGUGGGGGACUUUCGAGCCUCACGCUAUCAGAUGAGCCUGCGCAAGAUUAGCUUGUUGGUAGGGUAAAAGCCUACCAAGGCAACGAUCUUUAGCUGGUCUGAGAGGAUGAUCAGCCACAUCGGGACUGAGACACGGCCCGAACUCCUACGGGAGGCAGCAGUGGGGAAUAUUGGACAAUGGGGGCAACCCUGAUCCAGCAAUACCGCGUGUGUGAAGAAGGCCUGAGGGUUGUAAAGCACUUUCAAUUGUGAAGAAAAGUCAACAGUUAAUAACCGUUGACCU
This 470-nucleotide ribosomal RNA is filed under the name uncultured bacterium. RNAcentral's name for it is "bacterial SSU rRNA". It matches the Rfam family "Bacterial small subunit ribosomal RNA", at positions 8 to 475 of the family's 1533-position model. The record is from RNAcentral.